ACUGAUUGAGCCACCCAGGCACCGCUGAGGCCUUAUCAUUUUUAUGUCUCAAGUACACUCUUCUCUACUGAAAGUUACUUUCAAUUAAAACCAAGGUUAUAAACCAAGAAAAGGAAGGCAACAUGGAAUACAAGAAACAGAAGAUCAACACAAAAGAGGGAAAUACAAUAGGUUCUUGUGUCCACUGCUGAUUUGGGAACAUGUCCUCUGCUUGUCAAGGUUUGUCUCAUGCCAUAGUCACAAGCUCUAUGUGACCAGAGCCAACAUUUCCCGGAUCAACACACUUUGAAGUGGAACGCAUUUUCAACAAUCUUUUUCAAAGAGGGAGGAGUCUCCAUCUCACCUUUCAAAGAGUGGAACAUUUGCUUUGAUUUGGGAAUGGUAACGUUUCAUCCCCUGCCUGCCUGCCUGCUGCAGAAAGCUGCAUAUCACAAAACAAGAAAUGCCACUGGAGGAUUCAGCCUCCAGGCUAGAUGCUCUUUAUCCAGUCCAACCCAGCAAUUCCCACCAAGCAGAGGCAACCUCAUCAUGGCCUGUUCCAUCUGCCUCUACUCUUGGAAAAUGUUAAAACUUUGCAGAGGCUUAAUGAACCAUGUCCUGCCCUGAGAAACAGUUUUGUUACUGCUUUGCACAGAAAUGAAACAAAUGGAAUAAAAACAGGAGUGGAUCCUCUGAGUCACAGGAUGUCGGUGAAGAGCUCUUACUAAAUUGAGAACUUAAAUAGUAAUUCAUUGAAUGGACAGAAAAGGUAUUUGAAGUCAAGGUCCUCAUCUGCACCAAUGAACUAUGUGACCUUGAGUAAGUUACUGAACUCUUCUGGGCCUCUGUUUCCAUACCUCUAAAAUGGGAAUAAUAAUUUCUAUUCUCACUUCCUUUCAAGACUGAUAAAAGGACGAGAUGACAGGUGGAAAAGCACUUUAUAAAUCUAAAGAAGACCAACAGAUAUUCCAAAAUAGAGGAAAGCCCCCAAAAUCACUCGUAUUGAGAACGUGAAACAAGUAAGUUCCUUUGCAACAAUCUGUUCUUCUAAAUGAAUAUUAAAUUUAACAUUUCCUGAGUAUGUUUAUGUGUUUCAAGAUCAAGUUCCUAGAACUGGAAAAAAACAACAGGAGGAAAGACAGCUCGUGAUUCAAAUUUUCCAACAAAACCUCCAAAAAAAUAGAUAACCAAGUUUGCUCAUUUAUACGCUCAUGCAUUCCUUCUAUAAGCAACCAUUCAAUUCCACAACUGGUUAACGAACACCUACUAUGCUCUAAGUACUGUGCUAGGCACUGUGGAUGCAACAGGGAUAAAGGCAGCCCUGAUCCCAGCUCCUGUGGACCUAACAUUAAAGUAUUUUUUGAAAUGCAAGAAUGAAUCAGACAUGAUUUCCUCCCUGAAACAGUUAUAAACUAGUAGAAAAGGAAGUGGUCAUAAAACAAAACUGAAUCAUUUUCAGAGGCCUCUGCUUUUAGAAACAGGAGGAGAUGAAUGGGUCACAUCAAUUCUCUCUUUCUCCUGAAUCAGCAAAGAGCACCAAUACCAGCAUAUAGACAUGCUUUAUUUUAGUAGCUUUUGUCUUAAACCCUCCCUUGCCCUCACUUCCUUUCACAGCAGAACUUCUUUCAGGACUUGUCUCCUUUUCUUCCUUUUAGGUGCCCUCCUCAAACCAGUUCAUUGAGGAUUCUCUCCCCACCACUCUAUCGAGACUAUUCUUGGCAAGACCACCAAUGGUCUCCAACUUGACAAGUUAAGGGGUCACUGAAUUCAGUGGUCAAUAUAUUGCAUCGAUAUUUUGCUAAAUUUACUUCAAGAUUUUGAAGUCUACAAUUGUGUCUUAAAAACAUCUCUUUUCUCAUGGAGAGUCAAUCCUAGUUUAUUGAGCAUUACCUCAAACACAGUAGAGAGAAUGUCAGUGGUGAGAGAGGGCCAAGCACAUCGUCUGCAAGCGGGGGUAGAGAGUAGGGGGAGAAAACUCAGAGAUGAAACGAAACAUUGAAAUGUGGCCUGCCAUCUGAGUGAGUGAUGUGCACAUGCUGUUCUCAGUCCAUUCCAGUAACAUGGUUCUAUGAAUCAUAGAUGGGAUGAUGGGAAGUAGGUGGUAAUUUUAGGUUCCGCUUCGUUCAUUUUAUUAAGAGUCAUGGGAAUGGUGAGCCUGAACCUCUCCAGCCAGCCGAAGUGUGUAGAAGCAGCACAGUUUGCUGUCCCCACCAUUUCCACCUCCUAGACACCUCUCUCACCCACCGGGACACCAUGUAAAGGCGGACCUUGCUUCCCAGGGAGCCAGCGGGAGAGCACUCUAACGGCAAAACAGCAGUGCUAUAGCAGCCAGGAGACGCUGUCCAGGAGAGAGGGGAGAUCUCAGUGUGAUAAGGGAAAACUCAGCUUGCGUCACUUACAGCCACGAGGCCCCUGUCAGUCUGAUCCAGCUAUUAUGUCAAAACACAUCUGCUCCUGCCCAGAAUGCCCCAGUGCAGUCCUCAUCCAUCUCCAUCUGUAGGAACCAAAGCUAUCUUGCAUUCUCAGCAGCAACAUGUUUAUAACAGAAAUAUUAAGUAGGGCGAGAUGAUAAGAAGCUUUUACCCACAUUUCCAGAAAGAUACUGGGAAAUACGCUAUGAGAACAAUCCUUGCUUAUGUGUGACAAAGACCAAAAAAAAUCUCAGAGCUAUGAUUUAGAAAUGACGGCCUUCCCCAUGGGGAGAAAGUUCGUGAGCCUCCGCAGAUGACCGGGGUUGCAAAUGGAGACGUCUCUACCACUCUAAAAGCCUGCUCCUGCUCUUUAUAACAAGCCACACGCAGCCUGGAGUGACUGCCCCAAAGAACACAUUCAGAAUCGGGAUCACUGGACUUUGAUUGCGCCAACAGAUGGCAAGGUGUUUACAGGUUAGCAGGAGUAUCAUAGGCCAGGCCCGAGUCCAAAGAGCCAGGCACAUGAGGCACCGUGUUCCUUCUUGUAUUUCUCACAGCUCGGAGAAGGGCAGUCUAUCAUUUUUCUGAGAGUUACAUUCACCAGCCUGACCUAAGAAUGUAGAAAUGAAAAGCUAAAUGGGAGAGCCCUGCACAGUCAUUGAUUUUUCACAAGCAGCCAUGACCCUGGGUUUAGAAAAUAUUUUUCAAAUCAUAGAGCCAUAGAUCUGUUAGGAACCUGGAGUAAAGGUUAUCUAUCCUACAGAGAACGCACAACACUUGUUGUACUGGAUGGAGAUCCUGGUCUCUAUCUCCUUCCCUAUAAGAGGUUCUAUGCCAGCCUUCAUGGCUUCUCAGUCAAAAGGCGCCACAUCCUAAUUUCAGCCCCUCUUCCCACACACAGGUAAAACCUACCGCCUCAAGAUCUCUUCUCCAUAUAAACGUAUUUUAUUUAUUAGAAGACAUUCAUUUUUCAUCUAUGAUUU
Lynx canadensis (Canada lynx) is the source of this 3373-nucleotide long non-coding RNA. RefSeq lists it as uncharacterized. Lineage: Eukaryota; Metazoa; Chordata; Mammalia; Carnivora; Felidae. The record is from RefSeq and is a predicted model, not a curated record. The transcript has 2 exons.